Molecule: ribosomal RNA, 253 nt
Filed under: uncultured bacterium
Lineage: Bacteria
Description: partial 16S ribosomal RNA
Rfam family: Bacterial small subunit ribosomal RNA
Source: RNAcentral
UACGUAGGGUGCAAGCGUUGUCCGGAAUUAUUGGGCGUAAAGAGCUCGUAGGCGGUUUGUUGCGUCGGCUGUGAAAUCCCGAGGCUCAACCUCGGGUCUGCAGUCGAUACGAGCAAACUAGAGUGUUGCAGGGGAGACUGGAAUUCCUGGUGUAGCGGUGAAAUGCGCAGAUAUCAGGAGGAACACCCGUAGCGAAGGCGGCACUCUGGGCCGGAACUGACGCUGAGGAGCGAAAGCGUGGGGAGCAAACAGG